RNAcentral lists this long non-coding RNA (544 nucleotides) under Hordeum vulgare. RNAcentral describes it as "long non-coding RNA (HVUL_LNC021437)". Lineage: Eukaryota; Viridiplantae; Streptophyta; Magnoliopsida; Poales; Poaceae. The record is from RNAcentral.
AAGAAAGUUGUUCCAUGUAAAAAGCCAAAAUGAUGACUCACGAAUAACGCAUUCUCAUACCCACCAUGACCUGCUAGUUCCAUUAAUUUGCAACUAAUUUGUUACAAGUAAAAGUUGUGUAACAAGAAACAAAAUNCAAGAAACAAAAUCGAAAAAGAAAAAGAGAAGAGCUUGAUGCAUUGCAAGAACUACAAAACAUAUGACCAGUAAGAACUAUUACAAGGUGAAUGCAUACACAGGAAAUCCAUGGAACGCCGGCAUGCCUCUGUCCUCCCGUCGCGAGACGUAACGGAGAUGAUGGCCGCGCAAGCGCAAGCGCAAUUGCUGCAGAUCGAUCACCAAAAGAUCCGUAGAACCGCCAACGCCGCAAACGAGCAUACCGUGAAGUGGACGGUGCGCGGCGCGCUGGAUGGCAUGAACCCGGGGUCCUGCGGGUACAUACGCCCCUUGCCAGGCGCCGAGCCUCCGAUCUGGAUGUACCCUCCUGGCGGCGGCGGGCAGUUGGACACACCGGGGUAGGACGCCGGAGGUGGAGGGCUGUAGU